GAUGAAGAACGUAGCGAAAUGCGAUAAGUAAUGUGAAUUGCAGAAUUCAGUGAAUCAUCGAAUCUUUGAACGCACAUUGCGCCCCUUGGUAUUCCGAGGGGCAUGCCUGUUCGAGCGUCAUUUCAACCCUCAAGCACAGCUUUGUCUUGGGCUUCGCCGCUAACCCGGCGGGUCUUAAAAUCAGUGGCGGUGCCGUCGGGCCCUGAGCGCAGUAAUCUCUCUCGCUAUAGGGUCCCGGCGGAUGCUGGCCAGUAACCCCCAAUUUUCUAUGGUUGACCUCGGAUCAGGUAGGGAUACCCGCUGAACUUAAGCAUAUCAAUAAGCGGAGGA
Molecule: unclassified non-coding RNA, 330 nt
Filed under: soil metagenome
Description: partial contains 5.8S ribosomal RNA, internal transcribed spacer 2, and large subunit ribosomal RNA
Rfam family: 5.8S ribosomal RNA (bases 1-120)
Source: RNAcentral